AGAGUUGAUCCUGGCUUAGGAUGAACGCUAGCGACAGGCUUAACACAUGCAAGUCGAGGGGCAGCACGGGAGUAGCAAUACAACUGGUGGCGACCGGCGCACGGGUGAGUAACGCGUAUGCAACCUACCUAUCAGAGGGGAAUAACCCGGCGAAAGUCGGACUAAUACCGCAUAAAACAGGGGCACCGCAUGGUGAUAUUUGUUAAAGAGAUUCGCUGAUAGAUGGGCAUGCGUUCCAUUAGGUAGUUGGUGAGGUAACGGCUCACCAAGCCGACGAUGGAUAGGGGAACUGAGAGGUUGGUCCCCCACACUGGUACUGAGACACGGACCAGACUCCUACGGGAGGCAGCAGUGAGGAAUAUUGGUCAAUGGGCGGGAGCCUGAACCAGCCAAGUCGCGUGAAAGGAAGAAGGAUCUAUGGUUCGUAAACUUCUUUUGCAGGGGAAUAAAGUGCAGGACGUGUCCUGUUUUGUAUGUACCCUGAGAAUAAGGAUCGGCUAACUCCGUGCCAGCAGCCGC
RNAcentral lists this ribosomal RNA (519 nucleotides) under uncultured bacterium. Its description in RNAcentral is "bacterial SSU rRNA". It matches the Rfam family "Bacterial small subunit ribosomal RNA", at positions 8 to 518 of the family's 1533-position model. The record is from RNAcentral.